GACGAACGCUGGCGGCGUGCCUAACACAUGCAAGUCGAGCGAAUGAAGUUCCUUCGGGAACGGAUUUAGCGGCGGACGGGUGAGUAACACGUGGGCAACCUACCUCAUAGAGGGGAAUAGCCUUCCGAAAGGGAGAUUAAUACCGCAUAAGAUUGUAGUACCGCAUGGUACAGAACCCUUAAAGGAGCAAUCCGCUAUGAGAUGGGCCCGCGGCGCAUUAGCUAGUUGGUGAGGUAACGGCUCACCAAGGCGACGAUGCGUAGCCGACCUGAGAGGGUGAUCGGCCACAUUGGGACUGAGACACGGCCCAGACUCCUACGGGAGGCAGCAGUGGGGAAUAUUGCACAAUGGGGGAAACCCUGAUGCAGCAACGCCGCGUGAGUGAUGACGGCCUUCGGGUUGUAAAGCUCUGUCUUCAGGGACGAUAAUGACGGUACCUGAGGAGGAAGCCACGGCUAACUACGUG
RNAcentral lists this ribosomal RNA (466 nucleotides) under uncultured bacterium. Its description in RNAcentral is "bacterial SSU rRNA". It matches the Rfam family "Bacterial small subunit ribosomal RNA", at positions 28 to 507 of the family's 1533-position model. The record is from RNAcentral.